Pelobates cultripes (western spadefoot toad) is the source of this 274-nucleotide non-coding RNA. NCBI's taxonomy places the organism in Eukaryota, Metazoa, Chordata, Amphibia, Anura, Pelobatidae. The record is from the annotation of a GenBank genome assembly.
GUCUUGACAGGUGAGUCUCACGUGUGGAGAUGUAGUGGGCUAGCCACUGCGGGAUACCCGCGGAGUGAAGUGUUCGAUGCUUGUCAAGACAGAUAGGUUGCGGGCAACUAGGGACAUAUUAGGGACAGCAGCAGUUGUAAUGGUAAAUAGCCAUUUUAGGGGGGACUGUUGUGGAAAUAAGGUCUACACAUAUUUCCUGGUUAAAGGAAAAUGUCUAUUUACUCAUUUUACAAUAUAUAUAUCUCACAUAUAAAGCUAAGUACACAUAUUUCAA